Molecule: small nuclear RNA, 107 nt
Filed under: Balaenoptera musculus (blue whale)
Lineage: Eukaryota; Metazoa; Chordata; Mammalia; Artiodactyla; Balaenopteridae
Source: RNAcentral
GUGUUCACUUCAGCAGUACAUAUACUAAAAUUAGAACGAUACAGAGAAGAUUAGCAUGACCCCUAUAUAAGGAGAACAUACAAAUUCAUGAAACAUUUCAUUUUUUU